ACGAACGCUGGCGGCAUGCCUAACACAUGCAAGUCGCACGAGACCUUCGGGUCUAGUGGCGCACGGGUGCGUAACGCGUGGGAACCUGCCCUUAGGUUCGGAAUAACUCCCCGAAAGGGGUGCUAAUACCGGAUAAUGUCUUCGGACCAAAGAUUUAUCGCCUUUGGAUGGGCCCGCGUUGGAUUAGCUAGUUGGUAGGGUAAAAGCCUACCAAGGCGACGAUCCAUAGCUGGUCUGAGAGGAUGAUCAGCCACACUGGGACUGAGACACGGCCCAGACUCCUACGGGAGGCAGCAGUGGGGAAUAUUGGACAAUGGGCGAAAGCCUGAUCCAGCAAUGCCGCGUGAGUGAUGAAGGCCUUAGGGUUGUAAAGCUCUUUUACCCGGGAUGAUAAUGACAGUACCGGGAGAAUAAGCUCCGGCUAACUCCGU
This 431-nucleotide ribosomal RNA is filed under the name uncultured bacterium. RNAcentral's name for it is "partial 16S ribosomal RNA". It matches the Rfam family "Bacterial small subunit ribosomal RNA", at positions 29 to 506 of the family's 1533-position model. The record is from RNAcentral.